This 73-nucleotide transfer RNA is filed under the name Danio rerio (zebrafish). It matches the Rfam family "tRNA". Rfam says of the family: Transfer RNA (tRNA) molecules are approximately 80 nucleotides in length. Their secondary structure includes four short double-helical elements and three loops (D, anti-codon, and T loops). Lineage: Eukaryota; Metazoa; Chordata; Actinopteri; Cypriniformes; Danionidae. The record is from Rfam by way of RNAcentral.
GCCUGGCUAGCCCAGUCGGUAGAGCAUGAGACUCUUACUCUCAGGCUCGUGUGUUCGAGCCCCACGUUGGGCA